CAUAUGCGGGAGGAGUGUAAGUGAAGGGGGUGGUGUGGCUUCGCGGCCGGAUGAAUAUUGUUUUUCACCCAUGUCUUUUGCGCACUUGUUGUUUCCUGGGCGGGUUCGCCCGCCACCAGGACCAAACCAUAAACCUUUUUUUUUAUGCAGUUGCAAUCAGCGUCAGUAAAAACAAUGUAAUUAAUUACAACUUUCAACAACGGAUCUCUUGGUUCUGGCAUCGAUGAAGAACGCAGCGAAAUGCGAUACGUAGUGUGAAUUGCAGAAUUCAGUGAAUCAUCGAAUCUUUGAACGCACAUUGCGCCCUUUGGUAUUCCAAAGGGCAUGCCUGUUCGAGCGUCAUUUGUACCUUCAAGCUUUGCUUGGUGUUGGGCGUUUUUGUCUCCCUCUUUCUGGGAGACUCGCCUUAAAACGAUUGGCAGCCGGCCUACUGGUUUCGGAGCGCAGCACAUAAUUUGCGCUUUGUAUCAGGAGAAAAGGACGGUAAUCCAUCAAGACUCUACAUUUUUAACUUUUGACCUCGGAUCAGGUAGGGAUACCCGCUGAGCUUAAGCAUAUCAAAAAGGGGGGAGAA
Molecule: ribosomal RNA, 574 nt
Filed under: Bipolaris sorokiniana
Lineage: Eukaryota; Fungi; Ascomycota; Dothideomycetes; Pleosporales; Pleosporaceae
Description: eukaryotic LSU rRNA
Rfam family: 5.8S ribosomal RNA (bases 189-342)
Source: RNAcentral